AACCUGCGGAAGGAUCAUUAAUGAGGGCGUGUGGGGCUUAAUAUCCCCC
Molecule: ribosomal RNA, 49 nt
Filed under: Peltigera canina
Lineage: Eukaryota; Fungi; Ascomycota; Lecanoromycetes; Peltigerales; Peltigeraceae
Description: partial 18S ribosomal RNA
Source: RNAcentral